This 392-nucleotide ribosomal RNA is filed under the name uncultured bacterium. Its description in RNAcentral is "partial 16S ribosomal RNA". It matches the Rfam family "Bacterial small subunit ribosomal RNA", at positions 523 to 918 of the family's 1533-position model. The record is from RNAcentral.
AUACGGAGGAUCCGAGCGUUAUCCGGAUUUAUUGGGUUUAAAGGGUGCGCAGGCGGCCAUUUAAGUCAGCGGUUAAAUCGUGGGGCUCAACCCCAUUCUGCCGUUGAUACUGGGUGGCUUGAUUGCGGUCGAGGUUGGCGGAAUUCGUUGUGUAGCGGUGAAAUGCAUAGAUAUGACGAAGAACACCGAUUGCGUAGGCAGCUUACCAGACCGCAAAUGACGCUCAUGCACGAAAGUGCGGGGAUCGAACAGGAUUAGAUACCCUGGUAGUCCACGCAGUAAACGAUGAAUACUUGUUUUCGGCGAUAUAAUGUCGGAGGCAAAGCGAAAGCGAUAAGUAUUCCACCUGGGGAGUACGCCGGCAACGGUGAAACUCAAAUGAAUUGGCGGGG